UCCCCUUCUCCUUCGGGAUCCCCUUCUCCCCUCCUGACGGGAAGAAGGAGACCCCGGUCAGACCAUAGCUGUCAGCCUCCCCCUUUUUGCAGGAAAUUCCCUUAUUCCAGCGCCGCUUCCCGCUGCCAUCCCGGAUUGUUAGAUCUCCCGUCGACUGUCCCCAGGACAGGGGAGGCUGCGGAUCCCUUCUUUUCGAGGCUGCGGAUCCCUUCUUUUCGAGGCUGCGGAUCCCUUCUUUUCGAGGCUGCGGAUCCCUUCUUUUCGAGGCUGCGGAUCCCUUCUUUUCGAGGCUGCGGAUCCCUUCUUUUCGAGGCUGCGGAUCCCUUCUUUUCGAGGCUGCGGAUCCCUUCUUUUCGAGGCUGCGGAUCCCUUCUUUUCGAGGCUGCGGAUCCCUUCAUUUCGAGGCUGCGGAUCCCUUCUUUUCGAGGCUGCGGAUCCCUUCUUUUCGAGGCUGCGGAUCCCUUCUUUUCGAGGCUGCGGAUCCCUUCUUUUCGAGGCUGUGGAUCCCUUCUUUUCGAGGCUGCGGAUCCCCCCUUCUUUUCCCAUCUGAAGGUGGGCAGCUCUGGUUCAGAGGGUCUUCCCCCGGCUUCUCCCUCUCCUGCCCCAGACUCAGCCCCCCAUGGGACGCCUGUCCGUGCAUCCGUCUGCCUGCCUGCCUGCCUGCCUGCCUGCCUUCCCCACAGGCCAGGGCUCAGGGAUGAGGGGAGUUGUAGUCUGGGGACCCCAGCUGGAGAAACCCCCUCGCCCCCCCUUUGCCAAGCCCUGCCUGCCCCUCCCUGCAGGAGCCCCCCCCCAAUAGGACCCCCUGCAUCCCGGGACCCCGAGGGGGAGAGGAGACUCACCGGAGGAGACAAGAGGGGGGCCGGGGAGGGGCUCCGGAAGACCCGCCUCCGUCACUUCCUGUCCUCUCUAGGAAAGGGGCUCAGCUGCUCUUAACCCUUGCCUAGCCUGGCGCGCCCAGCUGGUCUCCUUUGGGGGGAGCCGAGAAGGAGAAAGAGGAGCCCCCCUCCCCCCCCCGGGAUGGGCAGGGCAGAAGGCA
RNAcentral lists this long non-coding RNA (1039 nucleotides) under Podarcis muralis (Common wall lizard). Its description in RNAcentral is "lncRNA (ENSPMRG00000019621.1)". The record is from RNAcentral. Lineage: Eukaryota; Metazoa; Chordata; Lepidosauria; Squamata; Lacertidae.